GUUUGUUGGCUUUGAAGAGGAUGGUGGAGUUUGCGGUUUUGUUUUAGGAGGAGUAUUGGAGGUUGUAGAGGAUGGUGGAGUCUGUGGUUUUGUUUUAGGAGGAGUAUUGGAGUUUGUUGUGAAGGUUGAUCUUUGGACUGGAGAAGACCUCGGCGGAGUUUGGUGGAGACCUUGGCGGAGAUGGCUGAGAAGCAGGAGCCACAAUUGGAGACCUAGUUGCUGGUGGUGCAGGAGACCUAGUUGCUGGUGGUGCGGGGGAUCUUGUUGGAGCUGC
Molecule: long non-coding RNA, 274 nt
Filed under: Erythranthe guttata (spotted monkey flower)
Lineage: Eukaryota; Viridiplantae; Streptophyta; Magnoliopsida; Lamiales; Phrymaceae
Description: long non-coding RNA (EGUT_LNC000937)
Source: RNAcentral